UGGGGAAUAUUGGACAAUGGGCGAAAGCCUGAUCCAGCCAUGCCGCGUGUGUGAAGAAGGUCUUCGGAUUGUAAAGCACUUUAAGUUGGGAGGAAGGGCAUUAACCUAAUACGUUAGUGUUUUGACGUUACCGACAGAAUAAGCACCGGCUAACUCUGUGCCAGCAGCCGCGGUAAUACAGAGGGUGCAAGCGUUAACCGGAAUUACUGGGCGUAAAGCGCGCGUAGGUGGUUUGUUAAGUUGGAUGUGAAAUCACCGGGCUCAACCUGGGAACUGCAUUCAAAACUGACUGACUAGAGUAUGGUAGAGGGUGGUGGAAUUUCCUGUGUAGCGGUGAAAUGCGUAGAUAUAGGAAGGAACACCAGUGGCGAAGGCGACCACCUGGACUAAUACUGACACUGAGGUGCGAAAGCGUGGGGAGCAAACA
RNAcentral lists this ribosomal RNA (427 nucleotides) under uncultured bacterium. Its description in RNAcentral is "partial 16S ribosomal RNA". It matches the Rfam family "Bacterial small subunit ribosomal RNA", at positions 355 to 774 of the family's 1533-position model. The record is from RNAcentral.